Molecule: unclassified non-coding RNA, 387 nt
Filed under: soil metagenome
Description: partial contains 5.8S ribosomal RNA, internal transcribed spacer 2, and large subunit ribosomal RNA
Rfam family: 5.8S ribosomal RNA (bases 1-120)
Source: RNAcentral
GAUGAAGAACGUAGCGAAAUGCGAUAAGUAAUGUGAAUUGCAGAAUUCAGUGAAUCAUCGAAUCUUUGAACGCACCUUGCACCCUUUGGUAUUCCGAAGGGUAUGCUCGUUUGAGUGUCAUUGUACUCUCACACUUCUAAUUCCUUUCGGGAUUGGGAGCGGUGGACUUGGGUGUUGCUGCUUUAGUUGUGGCUCACCUCAAAUAAGUUAGUGCAACUCUUGGUUGGACAUAGUACGGCGUGAUAAGUGUCUUCGCCGGCGCCUCUGUAAGGAGGGUGGCCGAUCGGGAGCUCUGUGCUUCAAACCGUCUUCGGACAAUCUCUGACAACUUGACCUCAAAUCGAGUAGGACUACCCGCUGAACUUAAGCAUAUCAAUAAGCGGAGGA